AUGAACACAAUAAACUACUCCUUCCGCCCCAUAAUAGAAGAUGUUUGUAUGUUAUGGGACAAAGGGAGUAUAGAUUACAACCAGCUCAGGUUACUGAAGCAACUGUAGAUAUUCAGUUACAGGCAUACAGCCUCUGCAAGUAGCUCAAUGAGAUUAACAAAUUGGGUACAAAUAACACAUUCCAGUAAUACAGUAAGGUUCAUAGUCCAAUUAACCGAAUCGACGCCUACAAUGCUAAUUUACUAAUGCUACAGUUAAUACAAGUUCAACAGGGUUCAAAAAAGAACUAAUGCAGGUUUCUGGGUCGGGAGAACCAACAAUAGUCGAUGGCAUCUCAGCACAUCCAAUUUGGAGAUAACCCGGAAACUCCAAGAAUACCAAGCACCUUGUGAGGUGUUGAUGACAAUAUCAGGUGGUACGGGAUUAUUUCCCACUCCUUGUCACCCUUCGGAACAUGUCUUUUAUGUUCUUUGAUCCUACCUCAGGCUUCAGUUUCUUUGCAGGUCUCCCUUUGCUUGAUUUGGCACUGCCAUUUCCUACGCCCCCCUGUAUUGACGCAUUUCACAAGCUUAGAGAACAUGGUGUGAGCGUUGAAAAAGGAUCAAGCAUUCUCAAGGAGUUUACCUCCGAGGGACAAGCUGGAGCAGGUACCGGAGAACUAUCAGCACAAAAUGACGUGUCAUUGGUUUUGGCCAUAUCAUUGAUCUCAUUGAUAUCUAAUCUGCAGUGGAGUGGAUUGUGCUAGCAUGAGAUAAAU
RNAcentral lists this long non-coding RNA (757 nucleotides) under Hordeum vulgare. RNAcentral's name for it is "long non-coding RNA (HVUL_LNC005026)". Lineage: Eukaryota; Viridiplantae; Streptophyta; Magnoliopsida; Poales; Poaceae. The record is from RNAcentral.